Molecule: transfer RNA, 71 nt
Filed under: Loxodonta africana (African savanna elephant)
Lineage: Eukaryota; Metazoa; Chordata; Mammalia; Proboscidea; Elephantidae
Rfam family: tRNA
About the family: Transfer RNA (tRNA) molecules are approximately 80 nucleotides in length. Their secondary structure includes four short double-helical elements and three loops (D, anti-codon, and T loops).
Source: Rfam by way of RNAcentral
GUAAUGGUGGUUCAGUGGUAGAAUUCUGGUCUUCCAUGUGAGAGACCUGAGUUUUAUUCCCAGCCAGUGCA